Molecule: long non-coding RNA, 356 nt
Filed under: Mytilus galloprovincialis (Mediterranean mussel)
Lineage: Eukaryota; Metazoa; Mollusca; Bivalvia; Mytilida; Mytilidae
Source: RNAcentral
CGCCGCUCUUUUAAGCGCAAAAUGAUAGCGAUCAAGUUUAUUUUAUGGUCGGCAUGGAUCAGCCUCAGGAUGCCGGCGUUUCUCAAAAAACGCAAAAAAGUCAAUGAAAGUUUUCAACAACACCAAGCGCGUGACAAAAGGAAAUGCCUUCAAAAGUACAAAGACUUGUACACUAUUGAACUGAACCGGCAACGUUCCACCACUAAAGUAGAGGUUAUGAUGUGCGAGUUGAUAGCAGAACUAAACCUACCCCUGUCAUCUGCCGAUACAUUCAACAAAGCAUUUAAACUAAUGUUUCCCUAUUCUAAAAUUGCAGGAGGUCAGUUUUUAUUCUAUUUUCUAUGUGUAGGCAGGAG